This 717-nucleotide ribosomal RNA is filed under the name uncultured bacterium. Its description in RNAcentral is "bacterial SSU rRNA". It matches the Rfam family "Bacterial small subunit ribosomal RNA", at positions 60 to 748 of the family's 1533-position model. The record is from RNAcentral.
AGUCGUACGCUUCUUUUUCCACCGGAGCUUGCUCCACCGGAAAAAGAGGAGUGGCGAACGGGUGAGUAACACGUGGGUAACCUGCCCAUCAGAAGGGGAUAACACUUGGAAACAGGUGCUAAUACCGUAUAACAAUCGAAACCGCAUGGUUUUGAUUUGAAAGGCGCUUUCGGGUGUCGCUGAUGGAUGGACCCGCGGUGCAUUAGCUAGUUGGUGAGGUAACGGCUUACCAAGGCCACGAUGCAUAGCCGACCUGAGAGGGUGAUCGGCCACAUUGGGACUGAGACACGGCCCAAACUCCUACGGGAGGCAGCAGUAGGGAAUCUUCGGCAAUGGACGAAAGUCUGACCGAGCAACGCCGCGUGAGUGAAGAAGGUUUUCGGAUCGUAAAACUCUGUUGUUAGAGAAGAACAAGGAUGAGAGUAACUGUUCAUCCCUUGACGGUAUCUAACCAGAAAGCCACGGCUAACUACGUGCCAGCAGCCGCGGUAAUACGUAGGUGGCAAGCGUUGUCCGGAUUUAUUGGGCGUAAAGCGAGCGCAGGCGGUUUCUUAAGUCUGAUGUGAAAGCCCCCGGCUCAACCGGGGAGGGUCAUUGGAAACUGGGAGACUUGAGUGCAGAAGAGGAGAGUGGAAUUCCAUGUGUAGCGGUGAAAUGCGUAGAUAUAUGGAGGAACACCAGUGGCGAAGGCGGCUCUCUGGUCUGUAACUGACGCUG